GGACCGUGUAUAAGUCUCCUGGGAUGGGGCGUCAUAGAGGGUGAGAAUCCCGUCUUUGACACGGACUACCAGUGCAUUGUGGUAUGCUCUCAAAGAGUCGAGUUGUUUGGGAAUGCAGCUCAAAAUGGGUGGUAAAUUCCAUCUAAAGCUAAAUAUUGGCGAGAGACCGAUAGCGAACAAGUACCGUGAGGGAAAGAUGAAAAGAACUUUGGAAAGAGAGUUAAACAGUACGUGAAAUUGCUGAAAGGGAAACGCUUGAAGUCAGUCGCGUUGNCUGGAAAUCAGCCUUGCUUUUGCAUGGUGUANUUUCUGGUUGACGGGUCAGCAUCAAUUUUGACCGCUGGAAAAAGGCCUGGGGAAUGUGGCAGCUUCGGCUGUGUUAUAGCCCCUAGUCACAUACAGUGGUUGGGAUUGAGGAACUCAGCACGCCGCAAGGCCGGGUUUCGACCACGACCGUGCUUAGGAUGCUGGCAUAAUGGCUUUAAGCGACCCGUCUUGAAACACGGACCAAGGAGUCUAACAUGCCUGCGAGUAUUUGGGUGGAAAACUCAAGUGCGUAAUGAAAGUGAAAGUUGAGAUCCCUGUCGUGGGGAGCAUCGACGCCCGGACCAGAACUUUUGGGACGGAUCCGCGGUGGAGCAUGUAUGUUGGGACCCGAAAGAUGGUGAACUAUGCCUGAAUAGGGUGAAGCCAGAGGAAACUCUGGUGGAGGCUCGUAGCGAUUCUGACGUGCAAAUCGAUCGU
RNAcentral lists this ribosomal RNA (744 nucleotides) under Agaricus luteofibrillosus. Its description in RNAcentral is "eukaryotic LSU rRNA". It matches the Rfam family "Eukaryotic large subunit ribosomal RNA", at positions 172 to 905 of the family's 3401-position model. The record is from RNAcentral. Lineage: Eukaryota; Fungi; Basidiomycota; Agaricomycetes; Agaricales; Agaricaceae.